UAAAUUCUUUGGCUUCUCCCUGCGGACCUCAGUGGAUGAGGAAGCGAUCAAGAUGUUGCUGUCUGCCCUGCUCCACACUUCCCAUGAGGAGCUGCAGGACAGGGAGGGCAUUGCUGUGGCGCUCAGUGUUGUGUCCAUGAAACAUCUGAAGAUAGUCCUGGAAGAAGUGAGACUAUAAGUACUGUCCUCACUGACAAGGACUCAUCGCCCACCCUGAAACUCAUGAAGGAACAUCAGCGAAGGAAAUGGGUGAUGGUAUGUAGUACCAUCUGUUUAACUUACGGAAAAAUAAUUGUAGAGCACAAGGGAGCCA
Phyllostomus discolor (pale spear-nosed bat) is the source of this 313-nucleotide long non-coding RNA. RefSeq lists it as uncharacterized. The record is from RefSeq and is a predicted model, not a curated record. NCBI's taxonomy places the organism in Eukaryota, Metazoa, Chordata, Mammalia, Chiroptera, Phyllostomidae. The transcript is spliced from 3 exons.